RNAcentral lists this ribosomal RNA (420 nucleotides) under uncultured bacterium. RNAcentral's name for it is "bacterial SSU rRNA". It matches the Rfam family "Bacterial small subunit ribosomal RNA", at positions 355 to 776 of the family's 1533-position model. The record is from RNAcentral.
UAGGGAAUCUUGCACAAUGGGCGAAAGCCUGAUGCAGCGAUGCCGCGUGAGGGAUGAAGGCCUUCGGGUCGUAAACCUCUUUCAGUAGGGAAGAAGCCACGGGUUCACCGUGGUGACGGUACCUGCAGAAGAAGCCCCGGCUAACUACGUGCCAGCAGCCGCGGUAAAACGUAGGGGGCAAGCGUUGCCCGGAUUCACUGGGCGUAAAGCGCGUGUAGGCGGUUCGUUAAGUCGGGUGUGAAAUCCCAGGGCUCAACCCUGGAAUUGCAUCCGAUACUGGCGGACUUGAGGACGGUAGAGGUCGGUGGAAUCCCCGGUGUACCGGUGAAAUGGGCAGAUAUCGGGGGGAACACCAGUGGCGAAGGCGGCCGACUGGGCCGAUCCUGACGCUGAGACGCGAAAGCCAGGGGAGCGAACCGG